This 253-nucleotide ribosomal RNA is filed under the name uncultured bacterium. RNAcentral describes it as "partial 16S ribosomal RNA". It matches the Rfam family "Bacterial small subunit ribosomal RNA", at positions 524 to 776 of the family's 1533-position model. The record is from RNAcentral.
UACGUAGGGAGCAAGCGUUGUCCGGAUUCACUGGGUGUAAAGGGUGCGCAGGCGGACUGGCAAGUCAGGGGUGAAAUCUUACGGCUUAACCGUGAAACUGCCUUUGAUACUGCUGGUCUUGAGUUAGGGAGAGGUUGAUGGAAUUCCAGGUGUAGCGGUGAAAUGCGUAGAUAUCUGGAAGAACACCAGUGGCGAAGGCGGUCAACUGGCCCUAUACUGACGCUCAGGCACGAAAGCGCGGGGAGCAAACAGG